ACAGUCAGGCCCAUGCGGCUCCGCACUCAACACUCCCCUCGGCCGUCCUGCCGGUGAGCUGGCCAACUCGCCGGGGGCUGUCACGUCCCUCCGUUGCACGCCCUCGCUUGUUGGGGCUCCCGCCGUAAUUAAUCACAGUAUUAAUCCUGGCCAAGCUUGUCUUCCUGAAUAAUUGUGUCAACGCGCUCCGGUGUCUGGGCCCAACAGAAAUGCGACCAACUUUGAGCACUGGACGGUAUCCCUGCGCCCAGGACCGCAGUGAAGGCCUGAACUCCUUGCUUACCCCUUGGCGCGCGCACACACACGUGCAAGCACACACGUGAACGCGCGCCGGCUUGUACGGCACUUCCAGGCACAGCCUCUGCACUGAGCGGGAGCCACUAGUGAGGAGCAGAAUGUUGGAGCCCACGGGAAACUGCGUUUCUUCUCAAAGUUAGGGGAGCAUUUUCUACAAAGGAAAAGGAGCAAGCGAACAAAGUAAGCUGCUACCAAGUCCACCAUCCAGUGCGAUGGUUGUCAUGGAUCUCAGAGCUGGAUGAAACCAGGGUGACAUCAAAGACCAUGAGAUGGAAUCAGACUGCUUUGAACAGGAUGCCUCAGCGGUAUCCAGCUUUGAUCUUUUUUCAGUUUGGCCAAGUGAUGUUUAUGCUGUGUCAGUGCAGAGGAAACCUGAGAGCAAGACAGUUUCCCGCACACCUGCUGCUUUAAACAGAUGGACUUUAUGGAUUGACGUCCACAGUGGAUGAUCCGGCUGCCACAUCAUUUUCACAAAGGAGCUAUAAUGAUGUAAUUGAAGAUCAUCUUUUCUUUCUCCCAAUCAACAUUUUUUAAACUAUUUUGAAAGUUGAAGUAUAGCUAAUUUACAGUGUUUUGUUAGUUUCAGGUGUACAGCAGAGUGAUUCAGUUAUACAUAUGUAUGUAUC
Molecule: long non-coding RNA, 923 nt
Organism: Bubalus bubalis (water buffalo)
Lineage: Eukaryota; Metazoa; Chordata; Mammalia; Artiodactyla; Bovidae
Exons: 4
Source: RefSeq, a predicted model, not a curated record